AGGGCGCACGGUGGAUGCCUUGGCACUAGAAGCCGAUGAAGGACGUGACUAACGACGAAAUGCUUUGGGGAGCUGUAAGUGAGCAAUGAUCCAGAGAUGUCCGAAUGGGGGAACCCGGCAGGUAAUGCCUGUCACUCAUUACUGUUAAGGUAAUGUAGAGGAAGACGCAGUGAACUGAAACAUCUAAGUAGCUGUAGGAAGAGAAAGCAAAAGCGAUUGCCUUAGUAGCGGCGAGCGAAACGGCAAGAGGGCAAACCGAAGAGUUUACUCUUCGGGGUUGUAGGACUGCAACGUGGACUUAAAGAUUAUAGAAGAACUACCUGGGAAGGUAGGCCAAAGAGAGUAAUAGCCUCGUAUUCGAAAUAGUCUUUAUACCUAGCAGUAUCCUGAGUACGGCGAGACACGAGAAAUCUCGUCGGAAUCUGGGAGGACCAUCUCCCAACCCUAAAUACUCUCUAGUGACCGAUAGUGAACCAGUACCGUGAGGGAAAGGUGAAAAGCACCCCGGGAGGGGAGUGAAAUAGAACCUGAAACCGUGUGCCUACAACAAGUUCGAGCCCGUUAAUGGGUGAGAGCGUGCCUUUUGUAGAAUGAACCGGCGAGUUACGAUAUGAUGCGAGGUUAAGUUGAAGAGACGGAGCCGUAGGGAAACCGAGUCUUAAUAGGGCGCAUUAGUAUCAUGUCGUAGACCCGAAACCAUGUGACCUACCCAUGAGCAGGUUGAAGGUGAGGUAAAACUCACUGGAGGACCGAACCAGGGCACGUUGAAAAGUGCUUGGAUGACUUGUGGGUAGCGGAGAAAUUCCAAACGAACUUGGAGAUAGCUGGUUCUCUCCGAAAUAGCUUUAGGGCUAGCGUCGAUGUUAAGUCUCUUGGAGGUAGAGCACUGUUUGGGUGAGGGGUCCAUCCCGGAUUACCAAUCUCAGAUAAACUCCGAAUGCCAAUGAGAUAUAAUCGGCAGUCAGACUGCGAGUGCUAAGAUCCGUAGUCGAAAGGGAAACAGCCCAGACCACCAGCUAAGGUCCCAAAAUAUAUGUUAAGUGGAAAAGGAUGUGGGGUUGCACAGACAACUAGGAUGUUAGCUUAGAAGCAGCUAUUCAUUCAAAGAGUGCGUAAUAGCUCACUAGUCGAGUGACCCUGCGCCGAAAAUGUACUGGGGCUAAAACAUAUUACCGAAGCUGUGGAUACCUUUAUAGGUAUGGUAGGAGAGCGUUCUAUGUGCGAAGAAGGUGUACCGUGAGGAGUGCUGGAGCGCAUAGAAGUGAGAAUGCCGGUAUGAGUAGCGAAAGACAGGUGAGAAUCCUGUCCACCGUAAGACUAAGGUUUCCAGGGGAAGGCUCGUCCGCCCUGGGUUAGUCGGGACCUAAGGAGAGACCGAAAGGUGUAUCCGAUGGACAACAGGUUGAUAUUCCUGUACUAGAGUAUAUAGUGAUGGAGGGACGCAGUAGGCUAACUAAACCAGACGAUUGGAAGUGUCUGGCCAAGCAGUGAGGUGUGAUAUGAGUCAAAUGCUUAUAUCUUUAACAUUGAGCUGUGAUGGGGAGCGAAGUUUAGUAGCGAAGUUAGUGAUGUCACACUGCCGAGAAAAGCUUCUAGCGUUAAUUAUACUCUACCCGUACCGCAAACCGACACAGGUAGUCGAGGCGAGUAGCCUCAGGUGAGCGAGAGAACUCUCGUUAAGGAACUCGGCAAAAUGGCCCCGUAACUUCGGGAGAAGGGGCGCUGACUGAUGGUCAGCCGCAGUGAAUAGGCCCAAGCAACUGUUUAUCAAAAACACAGCUCUCUGCUAAAUCGUAAGAUGAUGUAUAGGGGGUGACGCCUGCCCGGUGCUGGAAGGUUAAGAGGAGUGCUUAGCGUAAGCGAAGGCAUGAAUUGAAGCCCCAGUAAACGGCGGCCGUAACUAUAACGGUCCUAAGGUAGCGAAAUUCCUUGUCGGGUAAGUUCCGACCCGCACGAAAGGCGUAAUGAUUUGGGCACUGUCUCAACGAGAGACUCGGUGAAAUUUUAGUACCUGUGAAGAUGCAGGUUACCCGCGACAGGACGGAAAGACCCCAUGGAGCUUUACUGCAGUUUGAUAUUGAGUAUCUGUACCACAUGUACAGGAUAGGUAGGAGCCUAUGACCUCGGGACGCCAGUUUCGAGUGAGGCGUUGUUGGGAUACUACCCUUGUGUUAUGGCUACUCUAACCCAGAUAGGUUAUCCCUAUCGGAGACAGUGUCUGACGGGCAGUUUGACUGGGGCGGUCGCCUCCUAAAAGGUAACGGAGGCGCCCAAAGGUUCCCUCAGAAUGGUUGGAAAUCAUUCGCAGAGUGUAAAGGUAUAAGGGAGCUUGACUGCGAGAGCUACAACUCGAGCAGGGACGAAAGUCGGGCUUAGUGAUCCGGUGGUUCCGUAUGGAAGGGCCAUCGCUCAACGGAUAAAAGCUACCCUGGGGAUAACAGGCUUAUCUCCCCCAAGAGUUCACAUCGACGGGGAGGUUUGGCACCUCGAUGUCGGCUCGUCGCAUCCUGGGGCUGUAGUCGGUCCCAAGGGUUGGGCUGUUCGCCCAUUAAAGCGGCACGCGAGCUGGGUUCAGAACGUCGUGAGACAGUUCGGUCCCUAUCCGUCGCGGGCGUAGGAAAUUUGAGAGGAUCUGCUCCUAGUACGAGAGGACCAGAGUGGACUUACCGCUGGUGUACCAGUUGUUCUGCCAAGAGCAUCGCUGGGUAGCUAUGUAGGGAAGGGAUAAACGCUGAAAGCAUCUAAGUGUGAAGCCCACCUCAAGAUGAGAUUUCCCAUGAUUUU
Molecule: ribosomal RNA, 2784 nt
Filed under: Bacteriophage sp.
Description: bacterial LSU rRNA
Rfam family: Bacterial large subunit ribosomal RNA
Source: RNAcentral